UUUCCGUAGGUGAACCUGCGGAAGGAUCAUUCACGAUACAGGGUUUUAGGGGACUUUCUAAACAUCCAUAUCUAUCUUGUGUGAAAGGUUAGAUCUCGACAAUCUUGGCAAGAACCGUCUAAAUCAACUCAUCCUGCAACUAAUUUCUCUGAAGAAUAUUAUGAAUCCUUAAUUCUAAAUACAACUAUCAACAACGGAUCUCUUGGCUCUCGCAUCGAAAAAGAAAGCAGCAAACCGCAGAAGCCCUCGUUCGAACACCGGUCACGAAUGCAGAACUGG
RNAcentral lists this unclassified non-coding RNA (279 nucleotides) under plant metagenome. Its description in RNAcentral is "partial contains small subunit ribosomal RNA, internal transcribed spacer 1, and 5.8S ribosomal RNA". The record is from RNAcentral.